Molecule: ribosomal RNA, 1127 nt
Filed under: Escherichia coli
Lineage: Bacteria; Pseudomonadati; Pseudomonadota; Gammaproteobacteria; Enterobacterales; Enterobacteriaceae
Description: partial 23S ribosomal RNA
Rfam family: Bacterial large subunit ribosomal RNA
Source: RNAcentral
GGUUAAGCGACUAAGCGUACACGGUGGAUGCCCUGGCAGUCAGAGGCGAUGAAGGACGUGCUAAUCUGCGAUAAGCGUCGGUGAGGUGAUAUGAACCGUUAUAACCGGCGAUUUCCGAAUGGGGAAACCCAGUGUGUUUCGACACACUAUCAUUAACUGAAUCCAUAGGUUAAUGAGGCGAACCGGGGGAACUGAAACAUCUAAGUACCCCGAGGAAAAGAAAUCAACCGAGAUUCCCCCAGUAGCGGCGAGCGAACGGGGAGGAGCCCAGAGUCUGAAUCAGUGUGUGUGUUAGUGGAAGCGUCUGGAAAGGCGUGCGAUACAGGGUGACAGCCCCGUACACAAAAAUGCACAUAUUGUGAGCUCGAUGAGUAGGGCGGGACACGUGGUAUCCUGUCUGAAUAUGGGGGGACCAUCCUCCAAGGCUAAAUACUCCUGACUGACCGAUAGUGAACCAGUACCGUGAGGGAAAGGCGAAAAGAACCCCGGCGAGGGGAGUGAAAAAGAACCUGAAACCGUGUACGUACAAGCAGUGGGAGCCUCUUAAUGGGGUGACUGCGUACCUUUUGUAUAAUGGGUCAGCGACUUAUAUUCUGUAGCAAGGUUAACCGAAUAGGGGAGCCGAAGGGAAACCGAGUCUUAACUGGGCGUUAAGUUGCAGGGUAUAGACCCGAAACCCGGUGAUCUAGCCAUGGGCAGGUUGAAGGUUGGGUAACACUAACUGGAGGACCGAACCGACUAAUGUUGAAAAAUUAGCGGAUGACUUGUGGCUGGGGGUGAAAGGCCAAUCAAACCGGGAGAUAGCUGGUUCUCCCCGAAAGCUAUUUAGGUAGCGCCUCGUGAAUUCAUCUCCGGGGGUAGAGCACUGUUUCGGCAAGGGGGUCAUCCCGACUUACCAACCCGAUGCAAACUGCGAAUACCGGAGAAUGUUAUCACGGGAGACACACGGCGGGUGCUAACGUCCGUCGUGAAGAGGGAAACAACCCAGACCGCCAGCUAAGGUCCCAAAGUCAUGGUUAAGUGGGAAACGAUGUGGGAAGGCCCAGACAGCCAGGAUGUUGGCUUAGAAGCAGCCAUCAUUUAAAGAAAGCGUAAUAGCUCACUGGUCGAGUCGGCCUGCGCGGAAG